AUUGGAUUGUCGCCAGACCACUUGUUGUAUCGUCAGUGACAGCGCGUUACUUGUACGAAAUAAACCGUGAGGCGGGGCACCAAGUAUUGUUCAAUAUCUUCACCAUGAACGGAUUCCAAUAGGUCCAUUGCUCAAGUGGAAAAGAGUGGAAAAGCUGUUGAAUGGUGACACCAAGUAGAAUGGUAUGGUGCAGCCCAUGCCGCUAAUCGUGAAAACGAGAAUCAUCAUUGCUCAUCCUGUCAAGACGUCUACUUGCACUUUGCUAAAGAAAGAACAAGAUAUGUUUUACAUGUCACUGACAAGAGAUCUUAACACUUAUUUAUUAGUUUUAGUAAGAAAUAUGAGGUGUGAUCAUAACAUAUCAUGGUUCAUGAUAAAUUUUGAUACUUGAAGUUGUUCCAGGUAGUGGCAUUGUGCUAAUAACUAAUGUACUGAGGUAGUGAAAAUGUUUGUUAGAUAAUAGCUGCUUCAAUGUUGCUGAUUGAUGAAGCAGUCUCAUUUAAAAAAAAAACUGCAUUGUGUAAUUGUUACAUGUUGUUUAUGAUGAUGGUUGUUAUAGAUCUCU
Long non-coding RNA from Schistocerca cancellata (South American locust), 565 nucleotides. RefSeq lists it as uncharacterized. The transcript has 2 exons. Lineage: Eukaryota; Metazoa; Arthropoda; Insecta; Orthoptera; Acrididae. The record is from RefSeq and is a predicted model, not a curated record.